AUGAACGCUGGCGGCGUGCCUAAUACAUGCAAGUCGAGCGAACAGACGAGGAGCUUGCUCCCCUGACGUUCGCGGCGGACGGGUGAGUAACACGUGGAUAACCUACCUAUAAGACUGGGAUAACUUCGGGAAACCGGAGCUAAUACCGGAUAAUAUAUUGAACCGCAUGGUUCAAUAGUGAAAGACGGUUUUGCUGUCACUUAUAGAUGGAUCCGCGCCGCAUUAGCUAGUUGGUAAGGUAACGGCUUACCAAGGCAACGAUGCGUAGCCGACCUGAGAGGGUGAUCGGCCACACUGGAACUGAGACACGGUCCAGACUCCUACGGGAGGCAGCAGUAGGGAAUCUUCCGCAAUGGGCGAAAGCCUGACGGAGCAACGCCGCGUGAGUGAUGAAGGUCUUCGGAUCGUAAAACUCUGUUAUUAGGGAAGAACAAAUGUGUAAGUAACUAUGCACGUCUUGACGGUACCUAAUCAGAAAGCCACGGCUAACUACGUG
This 496-nucleotide ribosomal RNA is filed under the name uncultured bacterium. RNAcentral's name for it is "partial 16S ribosomal RNA". It matches the Rfam family "Bacterial small subunit ribosomal RNA", at positions 29 to 507 of the family's 1533-position model. The record is from RNAcentral.